RNAcentral lists this ribosomal RNA (409 nucleotides) under uncultured bacterium. RNAcentral's name for it is "partial 16S ribosomal RNA". It matches the Rfam family "Bacterial small subunit ribosomal RNA", at positions 355 to 757 of the family's 1533-position model. The record is from RNAcentral.
UAGGGAAUCUUCCACAAUGGACGCAAGUCUGAUGGAGCAACGCCGCGUGAGUGAAGAAGGUUUUCGGACCGUAAAGCUCUGUUGUUGGUGAAGAAGGAUAGAGGUAGUAACUGGCCUUUAUUUGACGGUAAUCAACCAGAAAGUCACGGCUAACUACGUGCCAGCAGCCGCGGUAAUACGUAGGUGGCAAGCGUUGUCCGGAUUUAUUGGGCGUAAAGCGAGCGCAGGCGGAAGAAUAAGUCUGAUGUGAAAGCCCUCGGCUUAACCGAGGAAUUGCAUCGGAAACUGUUUUCUUGAGUGCAGAAGAGGAGAGUAGAACUCCAUGUGUAGCGGUGGAAUGCGUAGAUAUAUGGAAGAAUACCAGUGGCGAAGGCGGCUCUCUGGUCUGCAACUGACGCUGAGGCUCGAA